CGGAUCUGCCCCGCCAAGAGCCCCGCCCCGCGCGAACCCUUCGUCGCCGAAUCUGCCCCGCCAAGGCUAGCCAGCCCUGACCCAAGUCCACCCUCUGCACGGGUACCGUAGCCGGAGUCCGGCCCCCGCGGCAGCCCUCGCCGGCCGAUUCUAGCGUGAUGGCUCCCCGCCUGGAAUACUCCCGUCAGCAACCUCCCCGGCUACCUCGCGCAGCGCCCCGGCCGUACUCCUUCCCGCCGCAGCGCCAGGUCUCUUCCUCAUCGCUGCAGCGUCAUCACCCAAAUGUCGCCCAUCGUCAUCGAUUAGAUGAGCGCAUCCCCCUUGCUAGUUGCCAGCGUGGUUUGAUUGGGGAGUUCUUGACAUUUUUUCUUUGCAUCUGUGGAUCAGGUAAAAUGGAUUACGACCAGUGGAGGAGCUCAGCUGAAGCUCGCCGCAGUAAAAAGUUAUGGCAUUCAUUUGAUCAUGUGAUCAUGUGUAAUGAUCAUCUGGUGCUGAGCCACUAAGUAUUGAGCGCACAAAUGUAGUCAAUGUUUCCCUUACUAGGAGCAAUCCUUCUACUUGCCCUAUUGGCUGAAAGGAAUCUCAAGAUGAUGAUUGCCAUAAAGUGUUCAUGGAUGAAUUUGAUCAUAACUGUUUUUCAGAAGGUACUGCUACACUGUUGUUAAGGUAAGGUUGCUGAAUUGUUUAUGAGGGCAGUCUCCAAAGAUUCAAUUUUGUGAACUGUGUAAUCUUGGUAUGUAUCACGUAUGUGAAUCAAUUCUAACGGCAGCAAAAAAGUAAUCACUAUGGUCAAUAUAACUAUUAUAUAUGUAGAUAAAUUAACAUUAGUCUAUAUGUGCAUGUGCACAUGCACCAUUGCUAGUAGAAAGCAAACUGAAGCGUUACAAAAAUUCAGAGAUGGUCUCCACCACCAGAAGAUGUUCUGAAGAUCAACACAUAUGGCUCGUUCAGAGAGGCGUCACACACAUGAGGAUUGGGCUUUACAAUCCAUACUGAUUGUGGACUGUUGAUGGCCACUGGAGUAGGCAAGUGGCAACCUGGAGUGAGUUGCUGAUCCUCUUCAAGCUGAAGCUCAAGCCAUGCUCCAGGCAGCGAUCACCGCCUCUCAAAUGGGCUGACAAUGUGUUUUAGAUUAUGAUCCGUCUCCCCCUGGAGUCAUCUUAGAAAACUAAAUUUCAUUUGUGACUUGGUUUCGAUAAUGUGAAAAUUGUGAACUGCCCAGGCGCGCCAGGUGAUCCUGUUUUGAUUUAAUAUUAUUUUCUUGGUUUCAUAUUCGACGGUUAUGACCAUGUGCGCCCUGUUUUGCUGAUUUUGCUCUUUUAACCGGGAGGCUAGAAGGAUAAGAUUGAGAAAAAGGAGCAUGAGUUACAGCAACUGGAUUGCUAAUUAUCUUGAUUUGAGAAGAAAUAGAAGUGCCCAGGAGGUUCCCUGUGGUGUUUUGUACCUUGUCUUUUUCGCUGCCAUUUUUUUCAGAAUAAGGUAAUUAUCUUGAUUUAAGAAGAAAUAUAAUUGUGCCCAGGAGGUUGCCAGUGGUGUUUUGUAUCUUGUCUUUUUUGCUGCCAUUUUUGUUCAGUAUAAGGUGUAAUCGAUCUGUGUAAUGUGUGUUGCCAGUUUGACAUGUAACUGUCUCAAUCCAAUGAGAAAUUUCAUGCAGUAAAAAAAGGAAAUUUCAUGCAGUGUGAUGUUCUCAACUUGUGUGCAUACUUUCUUCUUUUCUGCAGGAGAGGCUGCAGGAGAGGCUCUAUAAAAAUGGUACAUUGUGUUCCUGAUGCUAUUCUUUCUUCUUUUCUGCAGGAGAGGCUGGCAUUUGACAAUACGGUUAUGUGUGUGCAUUGACUGCUGGUGCUGCAGCCUGUAAUUUUUCUUGUGGAGUGGACCGAAGUAAUCCAGCAAGCUAGCUGCAUUAUUGAUUCUGUUCCUUUUGCUGGCGAGGAGGGGCAUUCUUCCUCGGGCGUCCACGUUUACGCUUUGGGGCACCGGAUGUGUCUGCUUUCUUUGUAACAUCAGGGUCGGUGAUAAUCGUGACGUCGUCGUCUUCACCUUUUCGUUCCUCUGGAAUGCUGGCUUCGUACUCGUCCCUCUAUAGAGGAAAUAGUGGUGAUCAUGAAAGGUAGGAACUACAUGACAUGAAAUGCUAGUUCUGUAGAACUUACCGUUAUAGGAUUCUUGUAUGAUUUUUUCCGAAGCUUGUUGCAAUCCGAACGCAGCAGUUUUGUACAUAUUUUCCAGCUGAAAAUAUGUAUUUCUGCCUGAAUUAGAUAGCGACGCAUAGGUUAGGAUAGGGGUGAAGCAUAGGUAGUGCAUGAUUGCAAAUGUAAUUUAGUGUUUGGCAGACCUGUGUGAAAUCCUCGGUAAUUUUAUCUCCGUCCCAUGUCAACAUGUAUUUGAGUGUGUAUGCCCCACAGGAAUAAUUGUGAUGUAAAGUUGAAGUUAAGUAUUGUAGUGUAGGUGAGGAAUCAUGUAGCUGCCUAUACGUACCCAUCCGUUUGUUGUGGUAUGUUAGUAUAGCAAGUGGUUUUCCACUGGGUAAUAUUGAUGGGUUUAGGCGGUGUUACCAAGCCAUCCUCGACCGCUUCGUUGAUAUAUGCCUGAAUGGACUCCACCUGGUGUACGAGGAGUAAUUCAAGGGAUUCAUUAGUGCUUUUAAAAAAGUCUCACAUGAUGGUAAGAGGCAGCAAGAGAGCAAGCUUACCAGUGCAGUUUCCUUGGCAAUGUCACAAUAUGCUUGGUUGGAGUUUAGGACCUGGAUCUCUUCUUUGUCUAAAUUAAACACGAGUAAUAACCAGUGCAUGAUGUGCACAUUCAUUGGGACACGUACCUGGCAGAAAAUUAAAGCGGACUCAAUUUAGGGAAAAUCAAGAUAUACAAUUAAACAAGCCAGGAAAUAUGCAUACCAUUUUGCGUCCUACAAAUUUCGUUGCUACAUUAGCAACAUCUGGGCUUUUGCAUCCCAUUGGAAUACCCCCAAAUUCGCCUAGCAAUCUUCUGCUUUCUACGGUGGAAAUGAAUGAUGUAGCAUCAGUUGCAACAUUGCUAAUGUGUGCAUAUGCAUUAAUAACCUACAAAAUUUGUAGUCAUGUAAUAUGGCACAAUUUAGAGUACUUGAUGUAGAUUGCAGUAUACGGGCCUUACGUCAUCGACGAAGAAUAGUUUCCUAACAUUUGGCUUGAGUUGAUGAACUGUUAGCACAAUGUCUUCGAUGUGAACUACCUCAACAAGGUCGUUGAGGGAGUCCUGGA
Molecule: long non-coding RNA, 3239 nt
Organism: Triticum dicoccoides
Lineage: Eukaryota; Viridiplantae; Streptophyta; Magnoliopsida; Poales; Poaceae
Exons: 5
Source: RefSeq, a predicted model, not a curated record